CAGUCGAGCGGAACGAAAGUAGCUUGCUACUAGGCGUCGAGCGGCGGACGGGUGAGUAAUGCUUAGGAAUCUACCGAGUAGUGGGGGAUAGCCAUUGGAAACGAUGAUUAAUACCGCAUAUAUCCUACGGGGGAAAGCAGGGGACCUUCGGGCCUUGCGCUAUUCGAUGAGCCUGAGUGAGAUUAGCUAGUUGGUGGGGUAAAGGCCUACCAAGGCGACGAUCUCUAGCUGGUCUGAGAGGAUGAUCAGCCACACUGGGACUGAGACACGGCCCAGACUCCUACGGGAGGCAGCAGUGGGGAAUAUUGCACAAUGGGCGAAAGCCUGAUGCAGCCAUGCCGCGUGUGUGAAGAAGGCCUUCGGGUUGUAAAGCACUUUCAGCGAGGAGGAAAGGUUAGUAGUUAAUAACUGCUAGCUGUGACGUUACUCGCAGAAGAAGCACCGGCUAAUUUAGUGCCAGCAGCCGCGGUAAUACUAAAGGUGCAAGCGUUAAUCGGAAUUACUGGGCGUAAAGCGCGCGUAGGUGGUUUGUUAAGUUGGAUGUGAAAGCCCAGGGCUCAACCUUGGAACUGCAUUCAAAACUGACUCACUAGAGUACGAGAGAGGUUAGUGGAAUUUCCUGUGUAGCGGUGAAAUGCGUAGAGAUGGGAAGGAACACCAGUGGCGAAGGCGACUGACUGGCUCGAUACUGACACUGAGGUGCGAAAGCGUGGGGAGCAAACGGGAUUAGAUACCCCGGUAGUCCACGCCGUAAACGAUGUCUACUAGCCGUUGGAGGACUUGAUCCUUUAGUGGCGCAGCUAACGCGAUAAGUAGACCGCCUGGGGAGUACGGUCGCAAGAUUAAAACUCAAAUGAAUUGACGGGGGCCCGCACAAGCGGUGGAGCAUGUGGUUUAAUUCGAAGCAACGCGAAGAACCUUANNNNNNCUUGACAUCCAGNNNNNNUGCUAGAGAUAGCUUGGUGCCUUCGGGAACACUGAGACAGGUGCUGCAUGGCUGUC
This 1002-nucleotide ribosomal RNA is filed under the name uncultured bacterium. RNAcentral's name for it is "bacterial SSU rRNA". It matches the Rfam family "Bacterial small subunit ribosomal RNA", at positions 59 to 1053 of the family's 1533-position model. The record is from RNAcentral.